This 466-nucleotide ribosomal RNA is filed under the name uncultured Acholeplasma sp. RNAcentral describes it as "bacterial SSU rRNA". It matches the Rfam family "Bacterial small subunit ribosomal RNA", at positions 912 to 1382 of the family's 1533-position model. Lineage: Bacteria; Bacillati; Mycoplasmatota; Mollicutes; Acholeplasmatales; Acholeplasmataceae. The record is from RNAcentral.
GACGGGACCCCGCACAAGCGGUGGAUCAUGUUGUUUAAUUCGAUGAUACGCGAAGAGCCUUACCAGGUCUUGACAUCCCCCGCGAUGCUUUAGAGAUAAAGCGGAGGUAUUCGGGGAGACAGGUGGUGCAUGGUUGUCGUCAGCUCGUGUCGUGAGAUGUUGGGUUAAGUCCCGCAACGAGCGCAACCCCUAUUGCUAGUUACCAUCAUUAAGUUGGGGACUCUAGCGAGACUGCCAGUGAUAAACUGGAGGAAGGUGGGGAUGACGUCAAAUCAUCAUGCCCCUUAUGACCUGGGCUACAAACGUGAUACAAUGGCUGGAACAAAGGGAUGCGAAGCAGUGAUGUGGAGCGAAACCCAUAAAAACAGUCUCAGUUCGGAUUGAAGUCUGCAACUCGACUUCAUGAAGUCGGAAUCGCUAGUAAUCGCGGAUCAGCCAUGGCGCGGUGAAUACGUUCCCGGGCCUU